UGGGGAAUAUUGGACAAUGGGCGCAAGCCUGAUCCAGCAAUGCCGCGUGUGUGAAGAAGGCCUUCGGGUUGUAAAGCACUUUUAUCAGGAGCGAAACGCUGUCGGCUAAUACCCGGCGGAACUGACGGUACCUGAGGAAUAAGCACCGGCUAACUUCGUGCCAGCAGCCGCGGUAAUACGAAGGGUGCAAGCGUUAAUCGGAAUUACUGGGCGUAAAGCGUGCGUAGGCGGUUUCUUAAGUCUGCUGUGAAAUCCCCGGGCUCAACCUGGGAAUGGCAGUGGAUACUGGGAGGCUAGAGUGUGUCAGAGUGUGGUGGAAUUCCCGGUGUAGCGGUGAAAUGCGUAGAGAUCGGGAGGAACAUCAGUGGCGAAGGCGGCCACCUGGGACAACACUGACGCUGAGGCACGAAAGCGUGGGGAGCAAACAGGAUUAGAUACCCUGGUAGUCCACGCCCUAAACGAUGCGAACUGGAUGUUGGUCUCAACUCGGAGAUCAGUGUCGAAGCUAACGCGUUAAGUUCGCCGCCUGGGGAGUACGGUCGCAAGACUGAAACUCAAAUGAAUUGACGGGGUCAUAGCUGUUUCCUG
This 588-nucleotide ribosomal RNA is filed under the name uncultured bacterium. RNAcentral's name for it is "partial 16S ribosomal RNA". It matches the Rfam family "Bacterial small subunit ribosomal RNA", at positions 355 to 1376 of the family's 1533-position model. The record is from RNAcentral.